This is a non-coding RNA of Podarcis lilfordi (Lilford's wall lizard), 74 nucleotides long. Lineage: Eukaryota; Metazoa; Chordata; Lepidosauria; Squamata; Lacertidae. The record is from the annotation of a GenBank genome assembly.
GCCUGGGACAGCUCAGUUGGUAGAACAUGAGACUCUCAGUCUCAGGGUUGUUGGUUUGAGCCCCACUAUGGGUG